Molecule: long non-coding RNA, 374 nt
Organism: Artibeus jamaicensis (Jamaican fruit-eating bat)
Lineage: Eukaryota; Metazoa; Chordata; Mammalia; Chiroptera; Phyllostomidae
Exons: 4
Source: RefSeq, a predicted model, not a curated record
UGAGAAUAUGGUGGUAUUAUUCAUGCGGCACCACGGACUGAGAGCAGGAGGCUGUGUGUUCUAAUCUCAACCCCUUCAUUGGAAGAAGGUAAAUCUGGUCCCUGUUAGUUCAUUUCGGCUGCAAGUGGAUGUCUGCUAUUAGAGAAAGAGGAAGGGAGAAAGAGAAAGAUCAGUGUGAGAGUAUGCGCCCAGACCGGUGACCCAUGCUGGGACUGGGGAUGGACCCACAGCCUAGAUCCACCGAACUGGCUUCCUUAGACCAGAGACUGAUAAGCCUUUUCUGUAAAGGGCCUGAUGGUAACUAUUUCAUGACUUCCCAGCUACGCACUCUCUGCUGCACCUACUCAACUCUGCCGUAUGCGAGCAGACACAGA